Cyprinus carpio (common carp) is the source of this 370-nucleotide long non-coding RNA. RefSeq lists it as uncharacterized. NCBI's taxonomy places the organism in Eukaryota, Metazoa, Chordata, Actinopteri, Cypriniformes, Cyprinidae. The transcript has 3 exons. The record is from RefSeq and is a predicted model, not a curated record.
CGCAUGUAACUUUAGAGACGGUCCCUAGAUUUGCGAAUAUCGAACGUCCAACGUCAAGCCAACUUUAUGCCAGCCCCACACGCACGUCUUGGAUUUCUUGGGUUGGUUACCGUAUUUAAAUUACGAACAGAAACAAAGCGCCGAAGAACUUUCCUCCUGGACCAUGGUCGUUUGCCGAUAUAGGAGACAUUCAUCACAUCGACAUAGUAGGAUUCAUCUUCAGUUCUCAGAGUUUGCAGAAAAAUAUGGCAAGAUUUUCAGCCUUAGAAUUCUUGGACCAAGAAUUGUUGUGUUGGAUGGAUAUAAACUCGUGAAGGAGGUGUAUUUACAACAAGGGGACAACCUCGCUGAUCGACCCUUGUUACCUUUA